This 496-nucleotide ribosomal RNA is filed under the name uncultured bacterium. Its description in RNAcentral is "partial 16S ribosomal RNA". It matches the Rfam family "Bacterial small subunit ribosomal RNA", at positions 29 to 507 of the family's 1533-position model. The record is from RNAcentral.
AUGAACGCUGGCGGCGUGCCUAAUACAUGCAAGUCGAGCGAACGGACGAGAAGCUUGCUUCUCUGAUGUUAGCGGCGGACGGGUGAGUAACACGUGGAUAACCUACCUAUAAGACUGGGAUAACUUCGGGAAACCGGAGCUAAUACCGGAUGAUAUUUUGAACCGCAUGGUUCAAAAGUGAAAGACGGUCUUGCUGUCACUUAUAGAUGGAUCCGCGCUGCAUUAGCUAGUUGGUAGGGUAACGGCUUACCAAGGCAACGAUGCAUAGCCGACCUGAGAGGGUGAUCGGCCACACUGGAACUGAGACACGGUCCAGACUCCUACGGGAGGCAGCAGUAGGGAAUCUUCCGCAAUGGGCGAAAGCCUGACGGAGCAACGCCGAGUGUGUGAUGAAGGUCUUCGGAUCGUAAAACUCUGUUAUUAGGGAAGAACAGAUGUGUAAGUAACUGUGCACUUAUUGACGGUACCUAAUCAAAAAGCAACGGCUAACUACGUG